RNAcentral lists this ribosomal RNA (103 nucleotides) under Caerostris extrusa. The record is from RNAcentral. Lineage: Eukaryota; Metazoa; Arthropoda; Arachnida; Araneae; Araneidae.
ACCAUGCUGAAUAUACCGAUUCUCGUUAGAUCACCGAAGUCAAGCAUCAUUGGGCGCGGUCAGUACUUGGGUGGGUGACUACCUGGGAACACCGCGUGCCGUU